GAUGAAGAACGUAGCGAAAUGCGAUAAGUAGUGUGAAUUGCAGAAUUCAGUGAAUCAUCGAAUCUUUGAACGCUCAUUGCGCCCCAUGGUAUUCCGUGGGGCAUGCCUGUUCGAGCGUCAUUUACCCCCUCAAGCUCCGCUUGGUGUUGGGCGUCUGUCCCGCUUCGCGCGCGGACUCGCCCCAAAGGUAUUGGCAGCGGUCGUGCCAGCUUCUCGCGCAGCACAUUGCGCUUCUCGAGGCACCGGUGGGCCCGCGUCCAUCAAGCUCACCCCCCCAGUUUGACCUCGGAUCAGGUAGGGAUACCCGCUGAACUUAAGCAUAUCAAUAAGCGGAGGA
RNAcentral lists this unclassified non-coding RNA (337 nucleotides) under soil metagenome. Its description in RNAcentral is "partial contains 5.8S ribosomal RNA, internal transcribed spacer 2, and large subunit ribosomal RNA". The stretch from base 1 to 120 matches the Rfam family "5.8S ribosomal RNA", at positions 35 to 154 of the family's 154-position model. The record is from RNAcentral.